This 5003-nucleotide long non-coding RNA is filed under the name Nicotiana benthamiana. RNAcentral describes it as "long non-coding RNA (NBEN_LNC035753)". The record is from RNAcentral. Lineage: Eukaryota; Viridiplantae; Streptophyta; Magnoliopsida; Solanales; Solanaceae.
AGAGUGAUUUUGUAGUCAAACAGUUUGAAAAAAGGGAGAAAAAGUUGUGGUUUGUUCCUGUUGAUUCAAGGAGCUUUGUUUGACAUUUCAGUGAAUUUUAGAAUUCAAAUCUAGAUACAAAAAGAAAAAGAAAAACGUUCUGGAAUUCAAGGAAAAACAGUAGAGGUUUAGAGUGAUUUUGUAGUCAAACAGUUUGAAAAAAGGGAGAAAAAGUUGUGGUUUUUUCCUGUUGAUUCAAGGAAGCUUUGUUUGACAUUUCAGUGAAUUUCGAGUUCGGUUUCGAUCCGAAAUCGAAGUCGAGUAUGCUGUUCCUGAGCUGCUGAAUUCCGUGCUCAAUUCCAACCUUAUCUGGGUUGCUUUUUGCCGCAAUUUCCCUGCUAUUAGGUAUGUAUUCCUUUAAGCUAUGUUCAGACUUCAAAUUUACUAUGAGAUGGAAUUGCUUUAUUGUUUAUUUUUUACAAUGAUUUGGUAAUCAAAUGGUAUGCUUGAUUGUUUAUUGGUUACGCUUAUUAUAUGUGCAAUUCAUAUGAUGUAAAUAGAAGUGUAUUCAUAAGAUUCGGUUUUCUACAAACAUGUGCAAUUUAUAUGAUGUAAAUAGAAGUAUAUUCAAAAGAUUCAGUUUUCUACAAAUGGAAAAGAAAAAGAAUUUUUGUUUUCCACUUACUACUGUAUCUUAUAUUCGGUGGACUCACUGCUAAAAGGUAAAAAUUUGUCCCAUUUGAUAUCUUUGCCGUUUGUUCUUACAUAUAAUGAAAGCACAAAGUCUUAAAAAAAUUUAAAUGCUCGAGGUAUGAGCAAGAAGUCGAGGUUGUUUGUUUCUAACUAUGGGAUGACUUUUAACAUUACCUUUUUUUUUUUUUGAAAAAAGCCAACGGGGGGUUUGGUGGGAGAAGAUGUGAUCUGUUUGGUUAAUUGAUACUGGUAAGUGAUAGAAUCUGCUUAGUGAGCUUGGAGAUGGUCAAAUGCUAAAUUCUUAAAAAAUCUCUUUGAUAAACAGAGUAAAAAAGCCAACGGGAGGUUUGGUGGGAGAAGAUGUGAUCUGUUUGGUUAAUUGAUGCUGGUAAGUGACAGAAUAUGCUUAGUGAGCUUGGAGAUGGUCAAAUGCUAAAUUCUUAAUAAAUCUCUUUGCUAAACAGAGUAUAAAAUAUUUACAUGCUCUCUCACUAAGAAUUUUUAUUAUAUUUUAACAAACUAUUCGGUCUCUAUAGAAUCAUGGAACAGGAAUGCAGAACUGUUUGGGUAUAUAUUUAGGCAAAUUUAUACUUGGGAGCAGUAGUAAAAAAUGGAAUGUUGUUAGUAUCCAAUUUACUCCUACUUAAUGUUGAAAUGAGUGACUAUGUUACAUUUGUACACACAGUCCUUCCUUGUAUAUUCACCGUGUCGAACAAUUAAGUGUCCUCGAGUUUCCUUGAAAUUGAAUUGAUACAGAUUAAUAUAGAAAACAUGGAUAAAUGGAUAAUGUAAUCUUUUGAGUAUCAGCAUACAUGCACCUUGGUAAUUGAUAUUGGGAUGAUAAUUCUGAUGCUAUUUUGGAGGAGAUAUUGCCCUAAGAUAUUACCGAAUCACAUGGACUAUAAAAUUGUCUCUUUAUACAUAAUCUUGGCAAAAAUCAUCUCGUGUGAGGUUUUCUGCAUGUUAAAUACUGUUAUGGAGCCAAAACAUUCAUAUCAUUAAAGUGGCUUUCAUGUUAGUUCCAGAUUAAUACCAUGUAGCUAAUAUGCUUAUUAUUGAGUUCAUGUCACUUAUUUGUUCGAAUAAUCGGUAGCAAUACCUUAGGCAUGUUAUUAAUUCAAUCAAUUAUCUUGAUUGUAUAGACGUUUGCGUGACACGAUUACUAUUUAAAAAAUGAAUAUUUGUAUUUUGCUUUAGGCUUGAUUUAGACUAAUAUUGUGAUUAUGUAUACGUUUCCGUAACAUACUUGCAAAUUUAAUUCUAAAGUGACUAGAGGGAUGGUUCGCGCAACAUCAGCCAAACUUUUCUUAAUAAAUCAGCAAAAGCGUUAUUAAUUGUGGACAUGUAUGCGUGACAUGAUUUUUGACGCGCCAUAGGAAAAAGUAUACGUACGCGCAACUCAAUCAUUUAAUUAUGAAUAAUCAAGUGAUUUAAAAGAGGUAAAACGAUGAAUGCACAUAGGUCGUAAAUGAGUAGCUAAACAAUUUAAGCCAAGUAACAAUCACUAAGCGACCGUGCUAGAACCACGGAAGCCAGGAAUGCCUAACACAACACCUCCUAGAUAAACAGAAUUCCUUAUCUUGAAUUUCUGGUUCGCAGACUGUGAGUAGAGUCAACCUUUCUCGAUUUGGAAUUUAAAAUAAAUCAGUGACUUGGGACACCAAUUAAAAUAUUUCAAGUGGCGACUCUGAUAAAAAAAUGAAUGAAUAAUCCCAUUUCGAAUAAUGUCACUUAAUUGAAAAGAACUCCCUCUACACCCUUCCGGGGGUGUAGUGAAAAAGGAGUUGAGACAGCUACCGGCAUCGAAUUUGUUUUUGGGUAGUAAUGGCAGUCAACAGUUCCUACUGUGAGCGUCGAAGUGGUAGGGUAUAUCAUAUGUUUACAUCUUGGGUUAUGGGUAUGGCUUGAUACAGCUUGCUCAGAUUUAUACAGUGGCUAGAUGUUGGAUUCGAGACUUCUGAUGAAUUCUGGAUGAUAGAGAUUGGGUUCUAAGGUUUAAGGACCGAACUCGAAAUAAGGACCUCCAGUUAUGUUAUGUUGGAGGGCUAUGUGGAUCAGGAUGACGUGGGAUCACCCCCGGGUUGAUGCUUGGCAAGGUUGCAUCGGGAUUUGAUAGCUUUGGAAGGACUCCUAGAACGUUCGAUGAUGAACCUGUGUUUAAGUGGUGGAGGAUGUAACGACCUGAUUGGUUAUUUUGAGUAUCUGCACUUUGCUCGGUGAUGCGAGGGCUCGAUUAUCUCCGCAUGAUGUAUUAUGACUUGCGUAAAUCAUUGGUGUUGGUUUUCAAGUUAUCUGGAAUCGGUUUGGAAGAAAGAACUUCAAGAUUUAAGUUCUAAAUUGGAAGAAUUUACUAAGUUUGACUUUUUAGCAUUUGACCUCAGAAUGAAGUUUCUCAAUUCUGUUAGCUCUGUUGGGUGAUUUUGAACUUAGCAGCACGUCCGGAUUGUAAUUUGGAGGUUUGUAGUCGAAUUAGUCUAGAAUUGGCGAAAGUUGGAUUUUUAUGAAGUUUGACUGGGAGUGGACUUUUUGAUAUCGAGGUCGGAUUCCGAUUCUAGAAGUUGGAAUAGGUCUAUAAUGAAAAAUGUGACUUGUGUGCAAAAUGUGAGGUCAAUCAGAGGUGAUUUGAUAUGUUUCGGUAUCAAUUGUAGAAGUUGAAGUUUCAAAGUUCAUUAAUUUUGACUUGAGGUGUGAUUCGUCGUUUCAUAGUUGUUAUUUGUGAUUUGAAGCUUUGAGUUGGUUCAUUUUGUCAUAAAGAACUUGUCUGCAUAAUUUGGCACCAUUUGGAAUUGAUUUGAUAUAAUUCGGACGAUAGGUUGUAAUUCUAGAAGUUCUUGAAGUAUAAGUAAGCAAAUGGUUGUAUGUUUCUGCAUUAUUUUUUAUUUUGAGGUCAUGCAACUCAUGGACACUACAAGUUUUACUUUUGUAUAGACGAAGGUUUUAGAUAGUGCUUCAUUUAAUUGCUGAUGAUUGGUGUAACGAUUUACAAAUAUGUAAAUAAAAACAUUUAGUAUCAAAGUAGCAAAUGGAACAUUCUGUGUAAAAAAUAUAUGGAAUCAACUAUUGAUAGUUGUAUUAGGAUAAGUUGCUUGCACCACGCGCUAUUUGAAUUUUUUUUUACUUUUUUCCGAAAUUUUACAAUUCUUAUGUCCAAACACUCACUAAAUGUGUAAAACUCAUAUAGAGUUCAAGGCAAUAGUCAAAACAAAAAAUAAGCUUACUCCUUGAAAUUUUAUUCUUGAAUUUAUGUUACAUACAUGCGGAGUAUCCCAUGGAGACAUUAUUCUGACAUGUGUAGCAAAGCUUAAUUAGUUGCCACAACUCAAAACUCAACUAGCUUUUUUCACAGAAGUGAGUGAACCAGAAGAGAAACUCACUGAAUCAUACCUUUGAAAAAUAUAAGCCACAAUCAAAGAAGCAGUAAGAGUAACAACAUCCUUAGCCGCACAUUGUUUGUUUGAUUCAGUUGGUCUCCCACUCUGUGGUCCAUUUGACCAAAACAAAAAAUUCAGCAAUUCUUUUCCUUUUUCCUUUGUAAACCUUUCCAACACAAAUUUUCCAGGAUCAUCAAACACCUUUGGAUCUCUCAUUACCAAUGGCUGAUACCCACAAAGAAGUUCACCUUUCUUGAUUUCAUAUACUGAAUCGUGUGAACUUAGCUUAAAAUCUUUUCUUGCUCUUGCAUAUUGAGUUGGCACUGGUGGACUAAGUCUAAGUGUUUCAUAUACAAAAGAUUGAACAAGUUCCAUUUCUUUAACACUCUCAAAACUCAAAUUUUCUGGCUUUAAUCCAACUUUCUCUCUCACUUCAUUUCUUAACUUCUCUUGUAAUUCUGCAUUUUUUUCAUCUCCAAGAUUUCCCAGAAGGGUUGGCAAGAAAAUAGAGAAACCACCAAAAGCAUUGAACCCAAGAAUGAACAAAAGGUUAUGUAUAACUUCUUGUUCAGUAAGUCCAAACUCUGACUUCCCUCUGUUUAAAACUUCCUUGGCUUCAUCUUUCACAAAUUGAAUCAGUUUUUCAUAACUACCUUUGACAAGGAAAAAAGGGUAAGUAAAAGAGUGGACAAAUAUUUCUUCAAGGGGUUGAAGUAUACCAAUACUAACAGUGGGUGCAAGUUGAAUAGCUAGCCACGUGUCAAGCAUGACAUAGCCGGAAUUGGCUAUUUCUGGUGAAGCUGAUGGAUUGGCUCCUAAGAGAGUGAGAGAGAAAAGGUUGAAGAGGAAUUUUUGCAUAGCAGGGAGGAGAGAAGCUGAGUUUGAUCUUGAGAUAUCUGAUUCAAAAGUUUCAAACAUGGAGUUGAGCUCAUUGACAAGUGUAGGCACCCAUGUUUUUGA